Long non-coding RNA from Anneissia japonica, 1290 nucleotides. RefSeq lists it as uncharacterized. NCBI's taxonomy places the organism in Eukaryota, Metazoa, Echinodermata, Crinoidea, Comatulida, Comatulidae. The record is from RefSeq and is a predicted model, not a curated record. The transcript is spliced from 4 exons.
CAUGCCAACACUAGAUAGAUUCGUUUUCAAGCUCGCGAAUAUCUUGCUGGGCUCUGUUGUUCACCAAGAAAAUAUGGCUAGAAAAUUAUUAUUAACGUUCAAUAGUACUCUACCCACUACAACUGCAAGUUCCGGAAUCAAUUCUAUCCAACAGCUUUUUGCAUAUGGACAACAAACACCAGGAGCAAUACCCAUUGUUGUAGAUUUUCAAGAUAAGCUGAUUUGUACUGAUGGGGUGAAGAAAUGAACAAUGAUUUAGUAAAAGAGAUGCUCAAUUCAAAUAUUUUUAGCUACAAAUAUAAUUCGAAGAGCCAAGGUUUGCGAUUAAUCCAUUCGGAGCGACAACAGACUGAAAUUUAUUACCAUAAAUUCUUUUAUGUCCAUUUUACAUAAUUCUUUGCGACUGUACAGGUCUACAAACGGGUCGAACAGUCCCAUAUAUGAACCCCCCCCCCCCAACAGUUGUUGAGUGGUGCGCCCUUAGUUUGAAUAACAUUACAAAAUUCUUGAAGCUUAUCUGGAGCAAGUCAUGGCUGUUGGAGAGUUUCCAAAAGAUGGUUACAAUUGUCGUAAAUAAUGAUGUCCACGAUUUUGCCCGUUGCCAAAAACAACUCUGUUAUGACCGACGGAAGUUUGGAACCAUGUCUGUAUAUCGACAUGAUACGCAAAACGAUAAAAAAAACAUACAAAAUGCCUCGAUUCUAUCAAAUACGGAUCCAUUUUUGCAUCGCCCUUCAUGCGGAAUUCUUAAAACAUCAUUGAUAAAUGUCAUCCUUUUCAAAUCUUGAAUUAAAUAAUGUUAUUUUGUUAAUACAAAAGUGUAUACUGUAUAUAUACAGGUAUAUUGAUAUUGGCUUGUGUGUGAGGAGCCAAAGCGGCAGAGGCAUAUUUAAGAGUGGGUCUAACAAAGGUGGUGUAGCAUUGUGCCUUAAAGACCGUCUGACAAGCUGAAUUAUAUGACUUAUAAGAAAAUAUACAAAUAUAUAUUUGUAUGUAUGUAUGUAUGUAUAUGAUAAUAAUAAUAAUAAUAAUAAUAGUACAGUAAUAAUAAUAUAUCAAUUUGAUACAUAAUUACAUAUUCUAACUGGACUCUAACUGGAUGUAUACAUUGUGCCUGUAUUUAACAUUUUUCAAUCAUUGUCAAUCUAAAGUCGGAGUUAUGUCCUGGUUUUGACCCUUUAACGUCACUAUUGGAUAGGCUUAUCUUCAUUAGACUUACUGUAGUGUGUAGUGUUUUAAUUGCUAUGUGCUUGUUUGUAAACUUGACAUUUUGGUCAAAUUAAUGAAUAA